GGCCUAUGGCACUGGCCUUACUUGUGAUUAGGUAAGAGCCGACCCAGAACAACAAAAAUUAUGUAACAUGUUUAAGAUCACAGAUUUUAACGAUUUUAUAGCCAUUGUGCUCAGUCACCACGUUCACAUAAAUUGAAAGAGAUAGAGUAUAAGUUGGAUAAAUUUAAUUGUUAAAAUCUGAUAUGAAAAGGAGGCCUAAAAUUAAUCAUCUAUGAAAAC
Molecule: long non-coding RNA, 219 nt
Filed under: Nicotiana benthamiana
Lineage: Eukaryota; Viridiplantae; Streptophyta; Magnoliopsida; Solanales; Solanaceae
Description: long non-coding RNA (NBEN_LNC000573)
Source: RNAcentral